AGCGAACGCUGGCGGCAGGCCUAAUACAUGCAAGUCGAACGGAUCCUUCGGGAUUAGUGGCGGACGGGUGAGUAACACGUGGGAACGUGCCCUUUGGUUCGGAACAACUCAGGGAAACUUGAGCUAAUACCGGGAUAAGCCCUUCGGGGGAAAGGAUUUAUCGCCAUUGGAGCGGCCCGCGUCUGAUUAGCUAGUUGGUGGGGGUAAAGGCCUACCAAGGCGACGAUCAGUAGCUGGUCUGAGAGGAUGAUCAGCCACACUGGGACUGAGACACCGGCCCAGACUCCUACGGGGAGGCAGCAGUAGGGAAUCUUGCGCAAUGGGCGAAAGCCUGA
This 335-nucleotide ribosomal RNA is filed under the name uncultured bacterium. RNAcentral's name for it is "bacterial SSU rRNA". It matches the Rfam family "Bacterial small subunit ribosomal RNA", at positions 29 to 386 of the family's 1533-position model. The record is from RNAcentral.